UCUCCGUAGGUGAACCUGCGGAGGGAUCAUUACACAAAAAAAUAUGAAGGCUGCACGCGGCUGUGUCUCUUUCGGGGGGCCAGCUUUGCGGAGGCUGAAAUAUUUUUCACCCAUGUCUUUUGCGCACUUGUUGUUUCCUGGGCGGGUUUCGCCCGCCACCAGGACCACACCAUAAAUCUUUUUUAUGCAGUUGCAAUCAGCGUCAGUAUAACAAAUGUAAAUCAUUUACAACUUUCAACAACGGAUCUCUUGGUUCUG
This 258-nucleotide unclassified non-coding RNA is filed under the name soil metagenome. Its description in RNAcentral is "partial contains small subunit ribosomal RNA, internal transcribed spacer 1, and 5.8S ribosomal RNA". The record is from RNAcentral.